Stegostoma tigrinum is the source of this 592-nucleotide long non-coding RNA. RefSeq lists it as uncharacterized. The transcript has 3 exons. Lineage: Eukaryota; Metazoa; Chordata; Chondrichthyes; Orectolobiformes; Stegostomatidae. The record is from RefSeq and is a predicted model, not a curated record.
CAGGUAGGAGCGUGAGUUUUUCUUUAAUGCUCUGGGUGAGAUACUGAACGGUCGGCACAGUCUUCUAUUGUCUUCUAUUUGUUCUGUUUCUCCGCCGAACUGGAAACCCUCCGACUUGGCAAAUUUCUCUCAAGCUCACACGUACAACAUUCAAAAUCUUUGAUCUUCCCAAUGUGUGGCUGCUGCAAUCGGACAUAUUACCCCAGUGCUUCUCUAAUACCUGUUUCUCCGCCAAACUGGAAACCCUCCGACUUAGCAAAUUUCGCUCAAGCUCACACGUACAACAUUCAAAAUCUUUGAUCUUCCCAAUGUAUGACUGCUGCAAUCAGAGAUAUUACCCCAGUGCUUCUCUGAUAACUGGUGAUGCCAUGUCUCUGAGAUCAUCCUAGCUUUCACCCUCGCCUGGUAACUUUCUCAAGACUUUCGGAUGAGGGACAUUUUGUUUUCAAAGUUAAACAACUUCUUGAAUGUAUUUGAGAAAUGAAGGGCAUGGAAUUUAUUGGAAUCUUAUAUUUACCAUAACCUCCAUAACCGCCUUUCCCUGUGGAACAAACAGAUUGGCGUUAACCUUGAUCAGUAAGGAUUCCUUGGA